This is a long non-coding RNA of Melospiza georgiana, 331 nucleotides long. RefSeq lists it as uncharacterized. Lineage: Eukaryota; Metazoa; Chordata; Aves; Passeriformes; Passerellidae. The transcript has 2 exons. The record is from RefSeq and is a predicted model, not a curated record.
CCAGACCUCAAGGAGGGCAUUCCAGAUGCCAAAGAGGUCAUCCCAACCUCGAGGAGAGCGUCCCAAACUUGAGGAAACCAUCCCAAGGCCGAGACAGAUAAAGGGACCUCGUCCUCAGCCAGGCUCUGGUUGGGAGAGAGCUGGGAGCUCCCAGGACGAGGUUUGGGAACAGUCUUGGGGUCGUUGGCAGUCGCAGCCCUCAGGGGGAAUUUUCACCUCUCCUUCCCCCCUGCCUCACACCCAGUCCUUGCUCCCUCUCCCUUCCCAGGGAGGGCGUCCAGUGGGGGAAGGAGAUUGAAAAUUAAAAAAAAAAAAAAAAAAAGGAAAAAAA